This 703-nucleotide ribosomal RNA is filed under the name Vermamoeba vermiformis. RNAcentral describes it as "SSU rRNA". It matches the Rfam family "Eukaryotic small subunit ribosomal RNA", at positions 603 to 1356 of the family's 1831-position model. Lineage: Eukaryota; Tubulinea; Echinamoebida; Vermamoebidae. The record is from RNAcentral.
GUUUAAGUUGUUGCAGUUAAAAGCUCGUAGUUGGAUUCGGUCCUUAGCAGUCCGCCCCUUCGGGGAGCGGGUUGCUGGCCUCCUAUGUUCCUAACGGUCCUCAUCCGCGAGGGUGGGGAAUCAACCGCUAGGAUCGUUUACUUUGAGGAAAUUAGAGUGUUCAAAGCAGGCGUAACUCGCCUCCGAAUACGUUAGCAUGGGAUAAUGGAAUACGACUUCGGUCUUGUUUCGUUGGUUUCGCUUGGCUGAAGUAAUGAUUGAUAGGGACAGUUGGGGGCAUUAGUAUUUAGUUGUCAGAGGUGAAAUUCUAGGAUUUACUAAAGACUGACCAAUGCGAAAGCAUUUGCCAAGGAUGUUUUCAUUAAUCAAGAACGAAAGUAGGGGGAUCGAAGACGAUCAGAUACCGUCGUAGUCUCUACCGUAAACUAUGCCGACCAGGGAUCCGGAGAGUUUGCAUGGAUGACUCCCCGGGCACCUUGUGAGAAAUCAUAAGUGUUUGGGUUUUGGGGGGAGUAUGGUCGCAAGGCUGAAACUUAAAGGGAAUUGACGGAAGGGCACCACCAGGAGUGGAACCUGCCGCCUUAAUUUGACUCACCGGGGAAACUUACGAGGUCAGGACCUGUGAGGAUUGACAGAUUGAAAGCUCUUCUUGAUUCAGGGGGGGGCAUGGCCCUUCUAUUGGGGAGAUUGCGGUCAUCCUAAC